GACGAACGCUGGCGGCGUGCCUAAUACAUGCAAGUAGAACGCUGAAGGAGGAGCUUGCUUCUCUGGAUGAGUUGCGCACGGGUGAGUAACGCGUAGGUAACCUGCCUGGUAGCGGGGGAUAACUAUUGGAAACGAUAGCUAAUACCGCAUAAGAGUAGAUGUUGCAUGACAUUUGCUUAAAAGGUGCAAUUGCAUUACUACCAGAUGGUCCUGCGUUGUAUUAGCUAGUUGGUGGGGUAACGGCUCACCAAGGCGACGAUACAUAGCCGACCUGAGAGGGUGAUCGGCCACACUGGGACUGAGACACGGCCCAGACUCCUACGGGAGGCAGCAGUAGGGAAUCUUCGGCAAUGGACGGAAGUCUGACCGAGCAACGCCGCGUGAGUGAAGAAGGUUUUCGGAUCGUAAAGCUCUGUUGUAAGAGAAGAACGAGUGUGAGAGUGGAAAGUUCACACUGUGACGGUAUCUUACCAGAAAGAGACGGCUAACUACGUG
This 495-nucleotide ribosomal RNA is filed under the name uncultured bacterium. RNAcentral's name for it is "partial 16S ribosomal RNA". It matches the Rfam family "Bacterial small subunit ribosomal RNA", at positions 28 to 507 of the family's 1533-position model. The record is from RNAcentral.